GUAGCACAUCAAGUCGAGGACUUUCUCACAUGUCAUCUACGGAAGAUAAGGCCAAAGGAAAGAAUCUGAAGUUUUCUGAAAGUAAAAUCAAAUCAACAUCACACUAAAGAAUCUGCACAACUGGGCAAUGUGUGCACACGGAGGCCUGAUUCUCUAAGUGAUCUCAAGAUUUUCCAAGUGAUCAGUACUGUUUGCUCAACGGUGCAUGCAGAGAAAGUGACAGCAAGAUUAAACCCAUGCACUAGACCUUGAGGGAGCAAUAACUCAUUUUCUGCUGUUAAAAAACAAAAGAACAAAACUUUCAAGGAAUGGACUGGGGAUACCAGAAGGAACACGGAAGAGGCAGCCGUGCCGUUUGGGAGUUGUUACGAGAUGCACGCGGACCUAAUUCCUUUGCCCCUGAAGACAGACGUCUGUCCUCAGAGCACGGAGCCGCGACCCGGAGGGAACGCGGCGUCCUGCAUGCCGAUGGCUCGCAGCAACAAGCAUCUUGCACAGACACAGGAAAAAGGAAAGGAUCAGACUCACCCCAUGUUGCACCACUGUUUCAGGGAAGCGUCUCAAAAGCAGAAGCAGCAUUUCU
Artibeus jamaicensis (Jamaican fruit-eating bat) is the source of this 583-nucleotide long non-coding RNA. RefSeq lists it as uncharacterized. The record is from RefSeq and is a predicted model, not a curated record. The transcript has 3 exons. Lineage: Eukaryota; Metazoa; Chordata; Mammalia; Chiroptera; Phyllostomidae.